CGCUAUCGAAAAUCAUGCAUUGGAUGGAUGCCCGGGCAUUGAGAAGGAAGGACGCUUUCAGAGGUGAAAGGCCAUGGGGAGAGAUUUUUCUGUGAUCCAUGGAUCUCCGGUCGGGAAACUGUAUCCAAGCUCCAUGGCUAGUCUGCGCUCUUUGGACUUUUCAAACUUAGCGAACUGAAACAUCUGAGUAGCUAAAGGAAGGAAAAUCAACCGAGAACCCGUUAGUAGCGGCGAGCGAGAGCGAAACAAGGGUUUUCAUCAAAAGAAAUCCGAAGCGGUUUCAUUAGAUUUGUUGUGGAUUGGAUGAUGGAAAAACCAGCAAGCAGCAAGCGUAGUUAGAAAAGUUGCCGUAGCACGCCCUACAGAGUUGUACAAAGUCAGCAACCGUUUUAGGGCGCAAGCAUAGGCAACACAUGAUUGAUGACGGGGUGGGGUGCACAGUGAACUAGUUUUCUAAAAAGAUUGGAAGAUCCGGCCAAAGAAGAUGAUGGCCCUGUUCAUUCAUUCCCAUGGUUCGAUCCUUCCCAGUAAAACGCGGCGUGUUCGAAUGAUGAUCACUUUUACACGAGAAAGGGGGACCACCCUCUAAGCCUAAGUAUUCCUCAAUGGCCGAUAGCAUACAAGUACCAUGAGGGAAAGGUGAAAAGAACCCCAAUCGGGGAGUGCAAUAGAGAACCUGAGAUCUGAUGCAAACAAUCAGUCGAAGGAGCGGAGUGUGGGCGCACUCACUCUAACGGCGUACCUUUCGCAUGAUGGGUCAGCGAGGAAAUGGGAACAACGGCUUAAGCCAUUAGGUGUAGGCGCUUUCCAGAGGUGGAAGAUUUAUGUUCUUCCUAUUUGACCCGAAACCGAUCGAUCUAGCCAUGAGCAGGUUGAAGAGAGCUCUAACAGGCCUUGGAGGACCGAACCCACGUAUGUGGCAAAAUAUGGGGAUGACUUGUGGCUAGGGGUGAAAGGCCAACCAAGAUAAGAUAUAGCUGGUUUUCCAUGAAAUCUAUUUUAGUAGAGCGUAUGAUGUUGAUGGCCUGAGGUAGAGCACUCAAUGGGCUAGGGUGGCCCCCAUUUCACUUUACCAACCCCAGGGAAACUCCGAAUACAGGCCGUCAUCCUUAGUACAGACAGACUGAUUGGGUGCUAAGAUCCAAAGUCGAGAGGGAAACAGCCCAGAUCGUACGCUAAGGUCCCUAAGCAAUCACUUAGUGGAAAAGGAAGUGAUCGAGCGAUGACAACCAGGAGGUGGGCUUGGAAGCAGCCAUCCUUUGAAGAAAGCGUCAUAGCUCACUAGUCUAGCUCCGUGUCACCGAAAAUGUCUCAGGACUCAAGUGGUUCACCGAAGCAACGAGACCUUGAAAGCAGCUUUUUCAAGUGUCAGUAGUGAGAUGUUCUGUCAAUCGGGGAAGGUUUUUGGUGACAAGACCUGGAGAUAUCAGAAGUGAGAAUGCUGACAUGAGUAACGAGAAAUCCUGUGAAAAACACGAUCGCCUGCCAGUGGAAGGCUUUCUGCGUUCAGUCAAUCUACGCAGAGUGAAUCGGUCCCUAAGGAACCCCCGAAAGGGCUGCCGUCCGAUGGGUACACGAAAGUGACAAAGUUGCUUUGACUACUGAACCAUGCCUGGAUCGUCAGAGCGAAUUGGAUGAUCGGGCCGAGGGCUGCCCCCUCUUCCCCUCGCUCUCCUUUCCUUAAUAUUCACCAUCGAGUCAUCAAAGCCGUCAACUAAUUCAGAGGGGCUCGGCUGGCCCGGUCGCCCUACGCUACUGGCGCUUCCAAAGGCGAAGCUCUCGUCUUUGGCGACCAGCAAACGGAGGGCUAAAACCUAUAGUUUUAAAGCAAGGGAUGAGCGCGAAAGCCGUUGCGCUUCCGUACACGUGCAUACGUUUUCUUGCUGGGGCGGAUACGGAUUUCUCUCUAAAGGUGAAGAAAAAGAAGUGGGCGAACACUCGGCCCAGCAGGCGAACAUGCCGGCUCCGGCUCCGCGCACCUGUUGACACCUUUAGAAGCACUUUCAUGUGUGAACCGAAGUCGUCUUGCCGAACUCCUUCCUUUCUCAUUUCAGUCCUCGCCUUUUUCAUCUUCCGUAGGGGCCUUUAGUCUUUUGAUUAGAGUGGAGGUCGCGAGAGAGCAGAGCGUACCGCCCUGCCAUAGUCACGAGGAUCUUAAUAGUCGGUCACGACUGUUGUCAUAGUCAAUGACGGUUGAAACUUCCAGGAAAAAACUUCGAAUUGGGAGGGCGAUCCUCCCGGUGAACUGACCGUACCCCAAACUGACACAGGUGAACAAGUAGAGUAUACUAGGGCGCGUCGAGAGAACCAUGUCGAAGGAACUCGGCAAAAUGACCCCGUAACUUCGGGAGAAGGGGUGCUCUCCUAUCUUUUGAUUAGGAAAGCGG
This is a non-coding RNA of Triticum aestivum (bread wheat), 2387 nucleotides long. The record is from Rfam. NCBI's taxonomy places the organism in Eukaryota, Viridiplantae, Streptophyta, Magnoliopsida, Poales, Poaceae.